AACGAACGCUGGCGGCAUGCCUAACACAUGCAAGUCGAACGAGACCUUCGGGUCUAGUGGCGCACGGGUGCGUAACGCGUGGGAACCUGCCCUUAGGUUCGGAAUAACUCCCCGAAAGGGGUGCUAAUACCGGAUAAUGUCUUCGGACCAAAGAUUUAUCGCCCUUGGAUGGGCCCGCGUUGGAUUAGCUAGUUGGUAGGGUAAAAGCCUACCAAGGCGACGAUGCAUAGCUGGUCUGAGAGGAGGAUCAGCCACACUGGAACUGAGACACGGCCCAGACUCCUACGGGAGGCAGGAGUAGGGAAUAUUCCGCAAUGGGCGAAAGCCUGGCGGAGUAACGCCGCGUGAGUGAUGAAGGUCUUCGGAUCGUAAAACUCUGUUAUUAGGGAAGAACAUAUGUGUAAGUAACUGUGCGCAUCGUGACGGUAACUAAUAAGAAAGCCACGGCUAACGACGUG
Molecule: ribosomal RNA, 458 nt
Filed under: uncultured bacterium
Lineage: Bacteria
Description: partial 16S ribosomal RNA
Rfam family: Bacterial small subunit ribosomal RNA
Source: RNAcentral